This 588-nucleotide unclassified non-coding RNA is filed under the name Hevea brasiliensis (rubber tree). The record is from RNAcentral. Lineage: Eukaryota; Viridiplantae; Streptophyta; Magnoliopsida; Malpighiales; Euphorbiaceae.
CUGGCCUAUAAAAGAUAACUACAAAUAUUAAUAGCAUAAAUCAUUUAGAAUUAUAGCAUCAAUUUCUUUGAAAUCCAAAUAAAACUAAAGCUAAAGAUGUUAACAAGUCUUAAACCAUAAUCCUUCAUUCCUACUAAAUAGCAAUAACCACAAAAACACCCAUAAGGCAACUACUCAUUAUCAAGGGUAAAAUAGUAUUUUUUAUCAUGAAAGAACAGAACAUGCUGUAUGCUAUCAAUCUAGCCUCUUCAUUUUCCCUAAUUGCAGAUUCCUUACAGUCAAAUUAACAAUUUAGCAUCAAUUCAUGCAAGCUAUGUUAACGUGCAGCAAAUUCUUCUUAAAAAAUUAAGCAAAAAAGAAACAUAAGCAUUCAAGAAAAGAAAAAUCCAAAAGCCCAAAUCAGCGCUCCCACUGGACUGGACCCUCAUGUUUCAAUUUAGCACUGUUAGGCCCUUACAAAAUUUGAGAUUAGGCAAUUGAGCCCACUUCCUCCAACUUAGAGCAUGUUAAACAGAUAGACGUCAGUCUAGUAUAAUUUAUAUUGCUUUAAGGCUAAAACCUGUGCUAAGGUGCCAAAAAAAAAAAAAG